This 68-nucleotide transfer RNA is filed under the name Marmota monax (woodchuck). RNAcentral's name for it is "tRNA.Ala". It matches the Rfam family "tRNA". Rfam says of the family: Transfer RNA (tRNA) molecules are approximately 80 nucleotides in length. The record is from RNAcentral. Lineage: Eukaryota; Metazoa; Chordata; Mammalia; Rodentia; Sciuridae.
GGGUUGUGGCUCAGUGGUAGAGCACUUGCCUAGCAUGCAUGAACACUGGGUUUGAUUCCCAGCACCCA